AAACCGUUGAAAGGGAAGCGAAUGGAGUUAGCAAUUCGCCGCGCCAGAUUCAGUCUCUCGCGUUCCGCAGCGUGCGUGCUCUCGAUCUUUGUAGACGAAACGCGAUGCGCACGCGGGACGGGAGCGGCGCACUUCUGGCGGGCGAGCGUCAACGUCGAUCGCCCGCGUGUCACAAGGCCGCGAGGAAGGUSAAYCUCCCCACGGGGCGGUUGUUAAGCCKCGCUAUCGCAUGGCACGGGGGCGACCGYGGAACGCCGCGACGCGUGCCUUCCCUCGGAGGGGGCGAGCGGCUGGUGUCCUGUUCUGUCGAACCGGUUGUCGACCGUGGCGGACGGCUCGCCUGUGCGCACGAACCGCUGCCAGUCGACAGGGCGKUGAUCACACACUACGCGUCGAGGACGUUGACGACCAUACGGCUCCAUCCGACCCGUCUUGAAACACGGACCAAGGAGUCUAGCAUGUGCGCGAGUCUCCGGGUGAGCGAAACCUGUGGGCGCAAUGAAAGUAAAGGCGGUGUUCGUCGCCGAGGUGAGAAGCGCGUUGCGGCGUGCCGCAUCAUCGACCGACCUGUUCUACUCCUAGAAAGGUUUGAGUAAGAGCGCACCUGUUGGGACCCGAAAGAUGGUGAACUAUGCCUGAAUAGGGUGAAGCCAGCGGAAACACUGGUGGAAGCUCGUAGCGAUUCUGACGUGCAAAUCGAUCGUCAAAUUUGGGUAUAGCGGCGAAAGACUAAUCGAACCAUCUAGUAGCUGGUUCCCUCCGAAGUUUCCCUUAGGAUAGCUGGAGCUCGGAUGCAGU
This 798-nucleotide ribosomal RNA is filed under the name Parasphaerasclera aurea. RNAcentral's name for it is "eukaryotic LSU rRNA". It matches the Rfam family "Eukaryotic large subunit ribosomal RNA", at positions 402 to 999 of the family's 3401-position model. Lineage: Eukaryota; Metazoa; Cnidaria; Anthozoa; Scleralcyonacea; Parasphaerascleridae. The record is from RNAcentral.